RNAcentral lists this ribosomal RNA (252 nucleotides) under uncultured Bacteroidales bacterium. RNAcentral describes it as "partial 16S ribosomal RNA". It matches the Rfam family "Bacterial small subunit ribosomal RNA", at positions 524 to 776 of the family's 1533-position model. The record is from RNAcentral. Lineage: Bacteria; Pseudomonadati; Bacteroidota; Bacteroidia; Bacteroidales.
UACGGAGGAUGCGAGCGUUAUCCGGAUUUAUUGGGUUUAAAGGGUGCGUAGGCGGGUUAUCAAGUCAGCGGUAAAAUCGUGGAGCUCAACUCCAUCCAGCCGUUGAAACUGAUGAUCUUGAGUGGGCGAGAAGUAUGCGGAAUGCGCAGUGUAGCGGUGAAAUGCUUAGAUAUUGCGCAGAACUCCGAUUGCGAAGGCAGCCUACCGGCUUCUGUCUGACGCUGAGGCACGAAAGCGUGGGUAUCGAACAGG